Molecule: ribosomal RNA, 90 nt
Filed under: Pelotomaculum sp.
Lineage: Bacteria; Bacillati; Bacillota; Clostridia; Eubacteriales; Desulfotomaculaceae
Source: RNAcentral
UCUGGUGACAAUGUCGGAGGGGGUACACCCGUUCCCAUCCCGAACACGGCAGUUAAGCCCUCCUGAGCCGACUGUAGCGUUUUGAAAGAU